This 504-nucleotide ribosomal RNA is filed under the name uncultured bacterium. RNAcentral's name for it is "partial 16S ribosomal RNA". It matches the Rfam family "Bacterial small subunit ribosomal RNA", at positions 29 to 523 of the family's 1533-position model. The record is from RNAcentral.
AUUGAACGCUGGCGGCACGCUUAACACAUGCAAGUCGAACGGCAGCGGGGGGAGCUUGCUCCCUGCCGGCGAGUGGCGAACGGGUGAGUAACGCGUAGGGAUCUGCCUGUUAGAGGGGGAUAAGCCGUGGAAACGCGGUCUAAUACCGCAUACGCCCUAAGGAGGAAAGUAUGGGACCGAAAGGCCAUACGCUAACAGAUGAACCUGCGUUAGAUUAGCUAGUUGGUGGGGUAAAGGCCUACCAAGGCGACGAUCUAUAGCUGGUCUGAGAGGAUGACCAGCCACACUGGAACUGAGAUACGGACCAGACUCCUACGGGAGGCAGCAGUGGGGAAUAUUGGACAAUGGGGGCAACCCUGAUCCAGCGAUGCCGCGUGUGUGAAGAAGGCCUGCGGGUUGUAAAGCACUUUAGUUGGGGAGGAAAGCCUGAGGAUGAAUAAGCCUUAGGGGAGACGUUACCCAAAGAAUAAGCACCGGCUAACUCUGUGCCAGCAGCCGCCGUAA